This 89-nucleotide ribosomal RNA is filed under the name Caerostris darwini. Lineage: Eukaryota; Metazoa; Arthropoda; Arachnida; Araneae; Araneidae. The record is from RNAcentral.
UGAAUAUACCGGUUCUUGUUAGAUCACCGAAGUUAAGCAUCAUUGGGCGCGGUCAGUACUUGGGUGGGUGACCACCUGGGAACACUGCG